GUAUGCUACACCUUGACGGCAAUAUCUGACCGGUAGGAAUCGGGCCAAAGGAAUCUGUUAAUUCCCAAUAUCUGACCAGUAGGAAUCCCCUAAGUCCUAAUAUCUGACCGGUAGGAAUCCGCUCAUCCAUAGGGGGGGUGCGGAUAAUAAAUGGAAUGACCCUAGACACAAAUAUGAGUCUUGUCCAUAUAAAAUUGACCAUUUCCAAAACAAUAAAGUUCAUGACCAAUUUCUCAUGUGUUAACUUAUGGUAUAAUUCACCGAUCUCUAUCA
This is a non-coding RNA of Paramuricea clavata, 273 nucleotides long. The record is from the annotation of a GenBank genome assembly. NCBI's taxonomy places the organism in Eukaryota, Metazoa, Cnidaria, Anthozoa, Malacalcyonacea, Plexauridae.